AUCAUUCUCUAGAUCUGGACUG
RNAcentral lists this microRNA (22 nucleotides) under Gyrodactylus salaris (gyrodactylosis fluke). RNAcentral's name for it is "gsa-miR-9395-3p". Lineage: Eukaryota; Metazoa; Platyhelminthes; Monogenea; Gyrodactylidea; Gyrodactylidae. The record is from miRBase by way of RNAcentral.